GCCCCUUUAGCUCAGGUAGUAGAGUAAUUCCAUGGUAAGGAAGAGGUCGUCCGUGCAAGUCGGGCAAGGGGCA
This 73-nucleotide transfer RNA is filed under the name alpha proteobacterium HIMB5. RNAcentral describes it as "tRNA-Thr (GGT) (tRNA-Thr-GGT-1-1)". It matches the Rfam family "tRNA". Rfam says of the family: Transfer RNA (tRNA) molecules are approximately 80 nucleotides in length. Lineage: Bacteria; Pseudomonadati; Pseudomonadota; Alphaproteobacteria; Candidatus Pelagibacterales; Candidatus Pelagibacteraceae. The record is from RNAcentral.